AACUGUAUAACUGAAAGGAAAGUGUGUAUUUUGAAAAUAUAUUAUAAAGGUUCGAAUCCUUUUGUAGUUU
Molecule: transfer RNA, 70 nt
Filed under: Arcoscalpellum epeeum
Lineage: Eukaryota; Metazoa; Arthropoda; Thecostraca; Scalpellidae
Description: tRNA-Ser
Rfam family: tRNA
About the family: Transfer RNA (tRNA) molecules are approximately 80 nucleotides in length.
Source: RNAcentral